CAUAAUCUACCAGUAAUGAGGUUUUAAGAUUUCCUUGGGCGUCUCGAGUAUAUUUACCUAAAGUGGGGACUGCACUGAUACCAAAUUUCACUCGAAAUUCAUUGUGUGGUGUUUUCCAUUGAGGCAUGUUGCCAACAUAGACAUGGACAACAUUGAGCUUUUUAGAGCUAUUAAAGGCAUUGUUAAAGAGAGGCAAAGCCGCACGAACCGUUGGACACCAAGGCUGUUUAGUACGAGGAUCAACAGAAGCAAGAUAAGCAACGAAAAGUGUCUCAUUUUUAGCAACGUUAGCUAAAGUAGAUUCCAGUGAUUCUUUCAAUGGUAACAACAUUUUGGUGGUCAGACGUUUGGAUAAAUACAAAUAUUUUAAUGAAUAUUGAAUACA
Non-coding RNA from Schizosaccharomyces pombe (fission yeast), 385 nucleotides. Lineage: Eukaryota; Fungi; Ascomycota; Schizosaccharomycetes; Schizosaccharomycetales; Schizosaccharomycetaceae. The record is from the annotation of a GenBank genome assembly.